This 253-nucleotide ribosomal RNA is filed under the name uncultured bacterium. RNAcentral describes it as "partial 16S ribosomal RNA". It matches the Rfam family "Bacterial small subunit ribosomal RNA", at positions 524 to 776 of the family's 1533-position model. The record is from RNAcentral.
UACGUAGGAUCCUAGCGUUGUCCGGAUUUACUGGGCGUAAAGUGUGCGCAGGCGGCCGAGCAAGUCGAGUGUGAAAGCCCCGGGCUUAACUUGGGAAUUGCGCUCGAAACUACUUGGCUGGAGUGUGGCAGAGGGGGGUGGAAUUCCACGUGUAGCGGUGAAAUGCGUAGAGAUGUGGAGGAACACCAAUGGCGAAGGCAGCCCCCUGGGCCAACACUGACGCUCAUGCACGAAAGCGUGGGGAGCAAACAGG